AACGUAGGAGACAAACGUUAUCCGGAGUUACUGGGCGUAAAGGGCGUGUAGGUGGUUUCGUAAGUCUGGCGUGAAAUUUUUCGGCUUAACCGGGAAAGGUCGUCGGAUACUGCAGAACUAGAGGACGGUAGAGGCGUGUGGAAUUCCGGGUGUAGUGGUGAAAUGCGUAGAGAUCCGGAGGAACACCAGUGGCGAAGGCGACACGCUGGGCCGUACCUGACGCUGAGACGCGAAAGCGUGGGGAGCGAACCGG
This 253-nucleotide ribosomal RNA is filed under the name uncultured bacterium. RNAcentral's name for it is "partial 16S ribosomal RNA". It matches the Rfam family "Bacterial small subunit ribosomal RNA", at positions 524 to 776 of the family's 1533-position model. The record is from RNAcentral.